This 285-nucleotide long non-coding RNA is filed under the name Sorghum bicolor (sorghum). Its description in RNAcentral is "long non-coding RNA (SBIC_LNC003865)". Lineage: Eukaryota; Viridiplantae; Streptophyta; Magnoliopsida; Poales; Poaceae. The record is from RNAcentral.
CGGUGGCACCGGCAGCUCCGGCUUCGGGAGGGGCUGCGGUGGCACCGGCAGCUCCGGCUUGGGCAACGGUGGCUGCUCCUCAGGUUUGGGGAGCGGCGGCAGGUCCGGCCUCGGUGGUAUCUCAGGCUUGGGCAACGGCGGCAGCUCCUGCAGCUGCCGCGCCGCGCUGCCGAUAGCACCGCUCGAGAGCAGCAACGCGAGGACCAAGGCAAGAGAGGACAUGGUGGUGGUCGACGUGGAAGCCAUUAUCGCUUAUCGACCAGGUCUGUUGUGCUGGAUAGGAUG